RNAcentral lists this ribosomal RNA (253 nucleotides) under uncultured bacterium. Its description in RNAcentral is "partial 16S ribosomal RNA". It matches the Rfam family "Bacterial small subunit ribosomal RNA", at positions 524 to 776 of the family's 1533-position model. The record is from RNAcentral.
UACGGAGGGUGCAAGCGUUAUCCGGAUUCACUGGGUUUAAAGGGUGCGUAGGCGGAUAGGUAAGUCCGUGGUGAAAUCCUGUAGCUUAACUGCAGAACUGCCGUGGAUACUAUCUAUCUUGAAUGUCGUGGAGGUUAGCGGAAUAUGUCAUGUAGCGGUGAAAUGCUUAGAUAUGACAUAGAACACCCAUUGCGAAGGCAGCUAACUACGCGAUAAUUGACGCUGAUGCACGAAAGCGUGGGGAUCAAACAGG